GACGAACGCUGGCGGCGUGCUUAACACAUGCAAGUCGAACGGAAAGGCCCUGCUUUUGUGGGGUGCUCGAGUGGCGAACGGGUGAGUAACACGUGAGUAACCUGCCCUUGACUUUGGGAUAACUUCAGGAAACUGGGGCUAAUACCGGAUGAGCUCCUGCUGCAUGGUGGGGGUUGGAAAGUUUCGGCGGUUGGGGAUGGACUCGCGGCUUAUCAGCUUGUUGGUGGGGUAGUGGCUUACCAAGGCUUUGACGGGUAGCCGGCCUGAGAGGGUGACCGGCCACAUUGGGACUGAGAGACGGCCCAGACUCCUACGGGAGGCAGCAGUGGGGAAUAUUGCACAAUGGGCGGAAGCCUGAUGCAGCAACGCCGCGUGCGGGAUGACGGCCUUCGGGUUGUAAACCGCUUUCGCCUGUGACGAAGCGUGAGUGACGGUAAUGGGUAAAGAAGCACCGGCUAACUACGUG
RNAcentral lists this ribosomal RNA (466 nucleotides) under uncultured bacterium. Its description in RNAcentral is "partial 16S ribosomal RNA". It matches the Rfam family "Bacterial small subunit ribosomal RNA", at positions 28 to 507 of the family's 1533-position model. The record is from RNAcentral.